This is a long non-coding RNA of Amphibalanus amphitrite, 1690 nucleotides long. RefSeq lists it as uncharacterized. NCBI's taxonomy places the organism in Eukaryota, Metazoa, Arthropoda, Thecostraca, Balanomorpha, Balanidae. The record is from RefSeq and is a predicted model, not a curated record. The transcript is spliced from 2 exons.
GUCUCCAUACCGCGGUGUUUCUGUUGUGUGUACCGCUCCAGUCCACAUACCGUGAUGCUACCGGUUGUGUAUAGGUACCUACUGUUGCAGUCUCUAUACCGUAGUGCUACUGUUAUGUGUACCGUUGCAGUCUCUGUACCGCGGCUGUUACUGUUGUGUGUACUGUUGCAGUCCCCAUACCGUUGGGUUCGUGCUGUUGGCAAUGAAGCAGUGUCCGUGUAUGAACGAGAUACUUUUGAGCAAUAUUCUCUUUUUUAUACCGAUAUCUCGGUCCUUCACACCAUCGCCCUGCGUCAGCCACUGCGUUUAAUACUGUCUUCGUCUAAAGUAUGCCGUUCCAGGCCCAUUUUCACUGCAAUGCUGUUCCUCUGCCGAGGGAAAGUGCUAAACUCCGAGUGUUUACCAGUUCAUAGAUAUAUUUCAAAAUCCGGCUCAUGCAUUUAACGGGAAUACAUGCGAUUGUGUUUGUGCGCUCGCAGUGCACGAUCAUUCGUCCACAUUUCGCCGUAUGACGCCAUUGGCACUGUUGCGGCGGCCUCGGCUUGUAAUCUCGCUACAGCCUGUAGGCAAGCAAUAUCACCUGCUGUUCCUUCUCGUUUCACAAGUCUUCUCUGUCCCUGUCUAAAACACCGAUGCGAAAUGGAUGCCGGUCAGGCACAUGGCUGCAACGACCGAAUCCAGAAUGAGCGCAAUGGACCCUGGCUCAGGAUGGUUGCUGGGGUAAUGCAUUCACAUUUGACAUACAUUCGGGUAGGUAUAGCUGUUUUAUAGUCCGCCGUUAAAUCCAGAGAACACUUGGCACCACUGUAAGACUUGUAUCCCACAUUAACCCCGCUCCGGCAGUCACCCCUCAGUGCGGCCGGUGCACAUAUGAUCAGCGGCAGUCUGCUGUGUCAUGUGCGUCCAGUCACGUCACUAACAGAAACUGCACCAGCCGCACCAUCGUUGGCGGUCACCGGCCGGUGUGGCGCGGGGCGCACCAAGGCCGGCGGGCGCCGAGUCUGUAUAUAACCGGCCGGCGGGCGGCAGCGGCCACACAGCCAGCCGACCGACCCACCGACAGCUGCCACCCAGCCCAGACCCAGACGCAUCAUGAACAAACUCGUGAUUCUUUUGCUUGCCGUUUCGGUGGCCGCCGCCUCUGCCGGCUACAGUCGCGGACACGGCGGUGGAUCCAGUGGAUACAGCGGCGGAUCCCGCGGCCACGGUGGAUCCAGCGGAGGGUACAGCGGAGGAUCCCGUGGACACGGUGGAUCAAGCGGUGGAUACAGCAGCGGAUCCCGCGGACACGGUGGGUCCAGUGGAGGGUACAGCGGCGGAUCCCGUGGACACGGUGGAUCCAGCGGCGGAUAUGGCGGAUACAGCGGUGGAUCCAGCGGCGGAUACAAGGGUGGAUCCAGCAGCAGGUACAGCGGCGGAUCAAGCGGCGGGUAUGGUGGUGGAUCCCGUGGAUAUAGUGGUGGAUCCAGCGGACACGGUGGAUCCCGUGGAUACGGCGGUGGAUCCAGCGGCGGAUAUGGAAAGGCAAGCAGUGGAUACCACGGCUAGAUACGACAGUUUAUUCUUAUUUCCUCAAUCUUCUGAUAUGUGUGAAGGCCCUUUCCUCGAUGUGUUGAAAUCCUCCGCCUUCUCGACUGUAUGUAACGGUUAGUUACGGUAUGUCACUUCGAAUAAACGUGGGAAAACAUGA